UACGUAGGGUCCAAGCGUUAUCCGGAAUCACUGGGCGCAAAGCGUGCGUAGGUGGCGCGUUAAGUGAGAUGUUGAAUCGUGUGGCUCAACCAUAUCGAUGCAUCUCAUACUGGCGUGCUAGAGGACAGCAGAGGCAAGUGGAAUUGGUAGUGUAGCAGUGAAAUGCGUAGAUAUUACCAGGAACGCCAAUGGCGAAGGCAGCUUGCUGGGCUACUCCUGACACUGAGGUACGAAAGCGUGGGGAGCGAACAGG
Molecule: ribosomal RNA, 253 nt
Filed under: uncultured bacterium
Lineage: Bacteria
Description: partial 16S ribosomal RNA
Rfam family: Bacterial small subunit ribosomal RNA
Source: RNAcentral